GUAUAGCUCAUUUGGUUAGAGCACAGGGCUGCUAAUGCCAAGGUUGCAGGUUCGAUUCCUACAUGGGACA
This is a non-coding RNA of Podarcis lilfordi (Lilford's wall lizard), 70 nucleotides long. The record is from the annotation of a GenBank genome assembly. Lineage: Eukaryota; Metazoa; Chordata; Lepidosauria; Squamata; Lacertidae.